GUGGGGAAUUUUGGACAAUGGGCGCAAGCCUGAUCCAGCCAUGCCGCGUGCAGGAUGAAGGCCUUCGGGUUGUAAACUGCUUUUGUACGGAACGAAAAAGCUCUCUCUAAUACAGGGGGUGAAUGACGGUACCGUAAGAAUAAGCACCGGCUAACUACGUGCCAGCAGCCGCGGUAAUACGUAGGGUGCAAGCGUUAAUCGGAAUUACUGGGCGUAAAGCGUGCGCAGGCGGUUAUAUAAGACAGAUGUGAAAUCCCCGGGCUCAACCUGGGAACUGCAUUUGUGACUGUAUAGCUAGAGUACGGUAGAGGGGGAUGGAAUUCCGCGUGUAGCAGUGAAAUGCGUAGAUAUGCGGAGGAACACCGAUGGCGAAGGCAAUCCCCUGGACCUGUACUGACGCUCAUGCACGAAAGCGUGGGGAGCAAACAGGAUUAGAAACCCUGGUAGUCC
Molecule: ribosomal RNA, 450 nt
Filed under: uncultured bacterium
Lineage: Bacteria
Description: partial 16S ribosomal RNA
Rfam family: Bacterial small subunit ribosomal RNA
Source: RNAcentral